CCUUCCUCUGGUUGAUAAUUGCCUUUUGCCCCUAAUGAAGUUAGGGGAUUUGGUCAUAGCAGACACCAUUAUUGAAGGUAAGGUUUUUAAGGGUGAUACUGAGCAAGAGUUUCACCAAAUCUACACCUUUGAUUGUACUAAUCCGCAGACUAGUCCUGCUUAUUUGUUCCUCCUGUCCCUCAGCUGGCCGGAAGUAAACAAAAUCAGAAAUUCUGGGCAAGUCUAGUUUGUCCCCCAGAAGCAACCUCUGACCUGAUACAAUGACGGUUGUGACUAAAUUAGGGUUCAAAUUAUAGAACAGAGGGACACUACAUACUGCUCAAGAAUGACAUUUUAUUUUCUAUUUUGGAAAUGUGCAAAAGUCAAGUCCCAACAGAAAACACCUGGCAUACCCAAAAUUGUACAAAGGGGAACACAAAAGAUAGUACAUUUCCCCAGAACUGGGAGCAGCUGAUUUGAUAGCAAAUAUAAGCUUGAAGGGACAAGGAGAGGGUGCAGUUCCCAAAACCCAGAAGCAGAGAGUCAUGUAAAAUCUGAUGCCUUAUAGGGAGAAUGACUUUUAGUUGAAGGACACAGACCAAGAAGACCUUACAAGGAAAGAGCUGGAAGAAUAAAUACGUGCAUUUGCCCUUUCCUCUCUCUGGUCUCCACCUCAACUGGAGGCCAGAGGGAAGACUUUAGAAGGAACCUACUCAGGUAAGCAUCCCAGGGCAGAGACAGGAGGCUGGGUUCUGAUUCUGGAGGAGCAGUCAGGAGAUAAGAGCAAAAACAAUGUCAGGGUAUUGGCUACUUAAAAAAAUAAUGUUCUACAGUUCUGUAGUUAGGUAGGCUGAAAAUAUAUUUCAAGCUGUUGCACUAAUGGCCCCUAAACCUUGGUUGUAGUUUCAUAGGACCAUGGUUCAUGUUUUUCUUCUUUAAAUUCCCUUUUCUAGUACUGUUUUAAAAUGUCCUUCGUCUAGGAUAAGUAUAAAUUAUCCCAGAUUUUAGCGAGGCACAAAAGGAAGGCCUUACAAUGUUGUUGUAUCCCUUUUCCUUUGCCAUCGCUCUGGGUUUAACCAUCAUCUCUUUGGCUGUUAUUUUCCAUUGUUAACAGUUAGUAGGAAUCAAGCCAACAAUCCUAAAGAGCCAGGAAUUCCUGGCCUGGUUGAACAGCCUUUAUCCCUGCUUUGGAGCACUUGAAUCGGCCAUAAGAAUUUAUUGCUAUUUGUAGAUGAAGAAGUAUUUCUACACUGAAUGCAUUUUUAAUGCUGUUUGUUGGAAGAAAGAUAUGAAAAGGGGAGUGACUAAGAAAGGUAUUCUGUCUCUACUGAUGAGAGAGCCAACACUGCUAAUGACACAGAAGAAAAUAAGAUAUGGCUCAUCAUGGCCCAGUAAUUCUACCAUUGGAAAGACUUUCCAACUACCAUUGGAAAGACUGGCAAGACUUGUCUUUGACAAGAUUACAUUUACUUUUCAAGUCCUAACCAUCACUCACUGACUCCCUACCUGCAUCAAGAUUAUGAAUGCCUGGAUGCCAAGGAUUCCAAUUCAAACUUAGAACUUUCUCAUUCAUUGACAUCCCUGCUGCAAUCAGCCACAGUGAGACUCCCAUCAAGAUCUUGGAAGAAAUUAUCACUAAGUGUUGAUUCAAAAUCUGAUCAACUAAUGAUCUGAUCAACAUAGAAGCAGAAAUUACCUUAGUGAAAAGGUGAAAAACCAGGGCAAUUGAUAUGCUAAGGUACUGUACUCCAGUUUUCUAUGAAUAGUUAAUAUCAGUUUAACCAACUAAAUUUAGUAUGAUGAGUCUUAGGGACUCCAAAGUCUAAAAAUGUCAGUAUCUUCAAGAUUGCCUAGAGCAAAGGGCCCUAUCAACUCAAGAAUUGACAUCUCUGAGGCUGGGUUAUACCUUCCAACACCAGGUUUGCAUAGCUGAGUGACAUUAGCUAUGAAGAUAAUUUGAUUCACUCUUCUGGCUCAGUUGUCAUAUUGUUAAUCAGCCUUAUAAUAAAUUUAUAUUUCCACAUAAAUUUUUAUACAAAGACAGAAUGGAUAGCGCAGUUGACUUGAUCGCUUCCUUUUAAU
Long non-coding RNA from Prionailurus viverrinus (fishing cat), 2061 nucleotides. RefSeq lists it as uncharacterized. Lineage: Eukaryota; Metazoa; Chordata; Mammalia; Carnivora; Felidae. The transcript is spliced from 3 exons. The record is from RefSeq and is a predicted model, not a curated record.